GCCUGGGCGCAGAGGCGCUCGCCUGUAAUCCCAGCAGCUCAGGAGGCUGAGACAGGAGAAUCGCAAAUUCAAAGCCAGCCUCAGCAAUGGCGAGGCGCUAAGCAAAUCAGUGAGACCCUGUCUCUG
This 126-nucleotide small RNA is filed under the name Marmota monax (woodchuck). Lineage: Eukaryota; Metazoa; Chordata; Mammalia; Rodentia; Sciuridae. The record is from RNAcentral.